RNAcentral lists this ribosomal RNA (122 nucleotides) under Salmonella enterica subsp. enterica serovar Anatum. RNAcentral describes it as "partial 23S ribosomal RNA". It matches the Rfam family "Bacterial large subunit ribosomal RNA", at positions 2652 to 2773 of the family's 2925-position model. Lineage: Bacteria; Pseudomonadati; Pseudomonadota; Gammaproteobacteria; Enterobacterales; Enterobacteriaceae. The record is from RNAcentral.
CGCUGGAGAACUGAGGGGGGCUGCUCCUAGUACGAGAGGACCGGAGUGGACGCAUCACUGGUGUUCGGGUUGUCAUGCCAAUGGCACUGCCCGGUAGCUAAAUGCGGAAGAGAUAAGUGCUG